Lolium perenne is the source of this 482-nucleotide non-coding RNA. NCBI's taxonomy places the organism in Eukaryota, Viridiplantae, Streptophyta, Magnoliopsida, Poales, Poaceae. The record is from RefSeq and is a predicted model, not a curated record.
GUGCAAGUAGUAGACAGGUAUGUGAAGAUGAAAGAAAAACAAGCAGAAGAUGAGAAGGCCGAGUCGAGUACAUUCUCCAUUGCCAAGUGCAUUGCAGCUGUAAACAAAAUCCAAGACUUCACCCGUCAAGAGAGAGUUAAGGCUUCAAAAGUCUUCAAAAGUCUUGAAAACCGCGAGACCUUCCUCACUUGGGUCACUGAAGACGAGGAGUCAGCUAUCAUGUGGCUCCGGGGUGAGCUGCAAGAGUUGACUUGAGCUGGAGGUCCUCUGGCGGCGGCGUGGUUUCCGGCGUUCGGCGGCGAAAACUUCUAAUGUUCUUCAAACUCUAUGACAAUGUGUUUAUGGCGACUUGGUUGCUCAUCUGUUUGGUCGAGCAUUUAUUUAUAUUUGUGUUCUUGUUUGAGAAAAUCGCAUGACAAAUUUGCAUGACACGAAGUUUAUGUUAAAGCCGAAGUUUUAAAUUUACUGAUUGUCAAUUAUCA